GAGACAGCAGAGCCGCGGUAAUACGUAGGGUGCGAGCGUUAAUCGGAAUUACUGGGCGUAAAGCGUGCGCAGGCGGUGAUGUAAGACCGAUGUGAAAUCCCCGGGCUUAACCUGGGAACUGCAUUGGUGACUGCAUUGCUAGAGUAUGGCAGAGGGGGGUGGAAUUCCACGUGUAGCAGUGAAAUGCGUAGAGAUGUGGAGGAACACCGAUGGCGAAGGCAGCCCCCUGGGCCAAUACUGACGCUCAUGCACGAAAGCGUGGGGAGCAAACAGGAUUAGAUACCCCCGUAGUCCCUGUCUCUUAUACA
This 308-nucleotide ribosomal RNA is filed under the name uncultured bacterium. RNAcentral describes it as "partial 16S ribosomal RNA". It matches the Rfam family "Bacterial small subunit ribosomal RNA", at positions 505 to 808 of the family's 1533-position model. The record is from RNAcentral.